GGCGGUAUGCUUAACACAUGCAAGUCGAACGGCAGCAAGUCUAGUAGCAAUACUAGAUGUUGGCAAGUGGCGGACGGGUGAGUAACACGUAGGAAUCUGCCUAGAAGAGGGGGAUAACCCGAGGAAACUCGGGCUAAUACCGCAUAAUUUCUGAGGAAGAAAGCUGGGGCAACCUGGCGCUUUUAGAGGAGCCUGCGUCCGAUUAGCUAGUUGGUGGGGUAAAAGCUCACCAAGGCGACGAUCGGUAGCUGGUCUGAGAGGAUGAUCAGCCACACUGGGACUGAGACACGGCCCAGACUCCUACGGGAGGCAGCAGUGGGGAACAUUGGACAAUGGGGGCAACCCUGAUCCAGCAAUACCGCGUGUGUGAAGAAGGCCUUCGGGUUGUAAAGCACUUUAGGCGGGGAAGAAGAUUAGUAUUUUAAGAGAUAGCUAAUUUGACGGUACCCGCAGAAUAAGCACCGGCUAACUCUGUGCCAGCAGCCGCGGUAAUACAGAGGGUGCAAGCGUUAAUCGGAUUUACUGGGCGUAAAGGGCGCGUAGGUGGUUACGUAAGUGAGAUGUGAAAGCCCCGGGCUCAACCUGGGAACUGCAUCUUAAACUGCGUGGCUGGA
This 614-nucleotide ribosomal RNA is filed under the name uncultured Gammaproteobacteria bacterium. RNAcentral describes it as "bacterial SSU rRNA". It matches the Rfam family "Bacterial small subunit ribosomal RNA", at positions 38 to 645 of the family's 1533-position model. The record is from RNAcentral. Lineage: Bacteria; Pseudomonadati; Pseudomonadota; Gammaproteobacteria.